Non-coding RNA from Diaporthe citri, 73 nucleotides. The record is from the annotation of a RefSeq genome assembly. Lineage: Eukaryota; Fungi; Ascomycota; Sordariomycetes; Diaporthales; Diaporthaceae.
GGCCGCGUGGCGCAUUGGUUAUGCAUUUAGCUUCUCUCCAUGAAGAGCGUAGGUUUAAACCCUGCCGUGGCUA